Molecule: ribosomal RNA, 492 nt
Filed under: uncultured bacterium
Lineage: Bacteria
Description: partial 16S ribosomal RNA
Rfam family: Bacterial small subunit ribosomal RNA
Source: RNAcentral
AGUGAACGCUGGCGGUAGGCCUAACACAUGCAAGUCGAACAGCAGCACAGUAAGAGCUUGCUCUUACGGGUGGCGAGUGGCGGACGGGUGAGGAAUACAUCGGAAUCUACUUUUUCGUGGGGGAUAACGUAGGGAAACUUACGCUAAUACCGCAUACGACCUACGGGUGAAAGCAGGGGGUCUUCGGACCUUGCGCGAUUGAAUGAGCCGAUGUCGGAUUAGCUAGUUGGCGGGGUAAAGGCCCGCCAAGGCGACGAUCCGUAGCUGGUCUGAGAGGAUGAUCAGCCACACUGGAACUGAGACACGGUCCAGACUCCUACGGGAGGCAGCAGUGGGGAAUAUUGGACAAUGGGCGCAAGCCUGAUCCAGCCAUACCGCGUGGGUGAAGAAGGCCUUCGGGUUGUAAAGCCCUUUUGUUGGGAAAGAAAAGCAGCAGGUUAAUACCCCGCUGUUCUGACGGUACCCAAAGAAUAAGCACCGGCUAACUUCGUG